RNAcentral lists this transfer RNA (87 nucleotides) under Candidatus Nealsoniibacteriota bacterium. Its description in RNAcentral is "Candidatus Nealsonbacteria bacterium tRNA-Ser". It matches the Rfam family "tRNA". From Rfam's summary of the family: Transfer RNA (tRNA) molecules are approximately 80 nucleotides in length. Their secondary structure includes four short double-helical elements and three loops (D, anti-codon, and T loops). Further hydrogen bonds mediate the characteristic L-shaped molecular structure. tRNAs have two regions of fundamental functional importance: the anti-codon, which is responsible for specific mRNA codon recognition, and the 3' end, to which the tRNAs corresponding amino acid is attached (by aminoacyl-tRNA synthetases). tRNAs cope with the degeneracy of the genetic code in two manners: having more than one tRNA (with a specific anti-codon) for a particular amino acid; and 'wobble' base-pairing, i.e. permitting non-standard base-pairing at the 3rd anti-codon position. The record is from RNAcentral. Lineage: Bacteria; Candidatus Nealsoniibacteriota.
GGAAGCGUGCGAGAGUGGUUGAAUCGGAUGGUUUCGAAAACCAUUAUACCCGCAAGGGUAUCGGAGGUUCGAAUCCUCCCGCUUCCG